ACCAGCAGCUAUGUCACCCUUCAACUCACAACUGGCAGCCCACUGAAGCAAAGCAGGUGUGAGCCUGGUCAGUACCUGGAUGGGGGACCUCCUGGGAAAGCAAAGGUUGCUGCUGGAA
This is a ribosomal RNA of Lepisosteus oculatus (spotted gar), 118 nucleotides long. Lineage: Eukaryota; Metazoa; Chordata; Actinopteri; Semionotiformes; Lepisosteidae. The record is from Rfam.